This 301-nucleotide ribosomal RNA is filed under the name uncultured bacterium. RNAcentral describes it as "partial 16S ribosomal RNA". It matches the Rfam family "Bacterial small subunit ribosomal RNA", at positions 509 to 807 of the family's 1533-position model. The record is from RNAcentral.
CAGUAGCCGCGGUAAUACGAAGGGUGCAAGCGUUAAUCGGAAUUACUGGGCGUAAAGCGUGCGUAGGCGGUGGUUUAAGUCCGUUGUAAAAGCCCUGGGCUCAACCUGGGAAUUGCAGUGGAUACUGGGUCACUAGAGUGUGGUAGAGGAUAGUGGAAUUUCCGGUGUAGCAGUGAAAUGCGUAGAGAUCGGAAGGAACAUCUGUGGCGAAGGCGACUAUCUGGGCCAACACUGACACUGAGGCACGAAAGCGUGGGGAGCAAACAGGAUUAGAUACCCCUGUAGUCCCUGUCUCUUAUAC